This is a long non-coding RNA of Gallus gallus (chicken), 1481 nucleotides long. The record is from Ensembl. NCBI's taxonomy places the organism in Eukaryota, Metazoa, Chordata, Aves, Galliformes, Phasianidae.
AUGAGGAGUCUGUUAUCUAGGAUAGUAAGGGUGACUCAGAAAUGCUGGGAAAGAAGAAAUGAUACAGAGAGCUGGCAUCUGUCUCAGACCUAACUGCCACAAUAAAACCAGAGUGUCAGUCCUGCUCACCUUGCAUCUAUGGAGCCCACUGCUCAUGCAUCCCUCCACAAUGUCUCAGGAUUUUACUGAAGAUUUUUUAAGAAUGUACUGUUAAGAGGAGUGAAGACUUUCAUCUCUAAGCAUAGCCAACUUACCAAGGCAGGUUACCACAGUAUUCCAUUGCAUCUCGAUUUUUGUAUGUGUGUUGCUUUCUGUUUUGUUUACCUUUUACAGAACUGUGUUGGACUGUAAAAUGACUUGUGCAGCAGUAUUUUUUGUACUGCAUGUUAGAUAUAAUCCAUUGCAAACACCCUAAGAUUAGUUGUAGCAAUUUGAACUCAAUCUAUUCUAAUCUUCUAGUUGACCUUUUAGCAUCUGAUAUCAGUCAUCAACAGUUGGAGAAUAAUUCCAGGGAUACUAAAUAACCAGAUAUUUGUUCUGGCUCAGCAUAGCAGUUCCUGCAAAAGACAUGAAUCUCACUAGUAGUCUGGUAAUCCCUUGGAUCAUAUAGAUCUGCAUUUUCUAAUGUAUUUUCCUUAAUUAAGAGGAAAUAGUGAUCAAUAUUCCACAAUACAUUCAAAUAAUAUUAAAAAAUUUCUUACUAAUGUGAAAACUGUGGUAGGUGAAAUAGCUGUUGUAAUUCUGAAGUAAGGAGGACCAGAAGAAAGUUACAGUCUUUCCUAUUGCCAUAUUACUUUAAAUUUUCUGUGAUUUUUCAUAUUGCUGGAAUGUUUUUCAUUCCGAAAGAGAAUGAAAUACAUUCAUUUUAAACAAGUGACUUAGAAAAAAAUCAAUUCAGUUGCAAUGAUCUCAUGGGAAAAGUUAUGCUAUUUUGCCUUAAUUCUGAUUUUCAAAAACUACUUCAAAAUGGAAAAUUGGAAAUCCUUGCUUUCAAUAUGUGAUUUAAAAUACAGUUCAAUAGAAUGUGACAGCUUUUUAAACAACAUUCCAUUGGAAACAAAUUAUCAUUUUCAGUUGGAGGGACAUUCCGGUGUAAAACUCAACUUGUCUGUAGGACAUCACUUGCAGCAUACAGUCAUAAACAACUGAGAACAGCUGCAAAAUCUGUGUUUGAAAAUAGCUUUCAAAAUUAAAUUGUUUUAAUUUUGCAUCAUUGGUGCUCAUCAAAAUUGUUUAAAUUAAAUUAAUUUUCAUCAGUAAAUAACAAUUUUUAAAAAGUCGUUUGUAAGAAAAUGUUGGUUUGGUGAAGUUAUUUAUUUUUAUUAUUUUAGGAGUCAAGAAGAGUUACUGAAAUACUUUGUUUUUUAUAUUUCUUAAUGAAGACAUUUUUUUGGAGACUAGGAUGAAUUACCAUUUAGAACAUUAAGCUGAUUUGGAAUCGUAUUAAAAAAAUAAAAAGAUAGAAAUAAAAUACCUAUAAC